CUCUUGAGAGCGGCGGACGGGUGAGUAAUGCCUAGGAAUCUGCCUGGUAGUGGGGGAUAACGUUCGGAAACGGACGCUAAUACCGCAUACGUCCUACGGGAGAAAGCAGGGGACCUUCGGGCCUUGCGCUAUCAGAUGAGCCUAGGUCGGAUUAGCUAGUUGGUGAGGUAAUGGCUCACCAAGGCGACGAUCCGUAACUGGUCUGAGAGGAUGAUCAGUCACACUGGAACUGAGACACGGUCCAGACUCCUACGGGAGGCAGCAGUGGGGAAUAUUGGACAAUGGGCGAAAGCCUGAUCCAGCCAUGCCGCGUGUGUGAAGAAGGUCUUCGGAUUGUAAAGCACUUUAAGUUGGGAGGAAGGGCAGUUACCUAAUACGUGAUUGUUUUGACGUUACCGACAGAAUAAGCACCGGCUAACUCUGUGCCAGCAGCCGCGGUAAUACAGAGGGUGCAAGCGUUAAUCGGAAUUACUGGGCGUAAAGCGCGCGUAGGUGGUUAGUUAAGUUGGAUGUGAAAUCCCCGGGCUCAACCUGGGAACUGCAUUCAAAACUGACUGACUAGAGUAUGGUAGAGGGUGGUGGAAUUUCCUGUGUAGCGGUGAAAUGCGUAGAUAUAGGAAGGAACACCAGUGGCGAGGCGACCACCUGGA
RNAcentral lists this ribosomal RNA (650 nucleotides) under Pseudomonas sp. AE2B 29. Its description in RNAcentral is "bacterial SSU rRNA". It matches the Rfam family "Bacterial small subunit ribosomal RNA", at positions 86 to 733 of the family's 1533-position model. The record is from RNAcentral. Lineage: Bacteria; Pseudomonadati; Pseudomonadota; Gammaproteobacteria; Pseudomonadales; Pseudomonadaceae.